AGUGACAACGUCGACUUUGAAGUUGCACUGACCUGGCCAGCCCUGCCACUUACCAGGCUGUGGCUUGCCUUUUCACUUCUUGUGUCCUGUUUAAGAAAUAUCUGCUAUCCCAAGAUAACACUAACAAAGUUGACCUUAGAAUUGGAGUGCCCGGGUUAGAACCUUGCUGGUACCACCUGCUUACUGCAUGCUUCUGAUGUGAGUUCAGGAGAAGCCACUGGCAAGGACAGCAAAGAACAGGAGAACACUCUAGCUUCCCUGAUAGCAUUCAAGGUGCUGUCCAAAGCUCUUGAGUUUCUGCUUUCAAGUGACCCUCAGAAAUGCCCCCAUUCACUGCAGAGGUUCUGUUUCUCCUUGUUUUGUUCCGACUUUAUGGCAGAACUAGGUUAAUGAGUUAAUUACUAUGAGUUAUCACUUGGAUUUGAAGAACCAUCAUUUCUAGGCUUUGCUGCUCAGAGUGGGUUUGCCCUCAGGGGAAGCUAUCUAACCAGAGCCUAACCCACUAGGGUUUUAUCAGAACCUAACUGGCCUGAGGAAAAGAAAUAUUCAACUCCAGCAAGCUCCAGCCUUCCAAACGGAGGAGGAGAAAACCCAAAUCCAGCCCACUUCAGCUAUCUUGUCCCACAUAAAGGGGGAGUGGAAGAAACGUGAGAAGCAGGCAUGAAGUUCACAGUCCGGAGGUACAGACACAUCAGAGUUCAGUAUCUGAUGAAUUAGAUGCAAAAUCCUCAACAAAGUAUUAGCAAAUUGAAUUCAACAAUGUAUGAAAAUUAUUACAUGCCAUGACUAAUUGGAAUUUAUCUCAGGUAUACAAGCCAUGCUGAACAUCUGAAAAUCAAUUCAUGUGAUCCAUCACAUUAGCAGAUUCAA
This 870-nucleotide long non-coding RNA is filed under the name Pongo abelii (Sumatran orangutan). RNAcentral's name for it is "lincRNA". Lineage: Eukaryota; Metazoa; Chordata; Mammalia; Primates; Hominidae. The record is from RNAcentral.